RNAcentral lists this transfer RNA (73 nucleotides) under Paracoccus isoporae. Its description in RNAcentral is "Paracoccus sp. sw-3 tRNA". It matches the Rfam family "tRNA". Rfam says of the family: Transfer RNA (tRNA) molecules are approximately 80 nucleotides in length. Their secondary structure includes four short double-helical elements and three loops (D, anti-codon, and T loops). The record is from Rfam by way of RNAcentral. Lineage: Bacteria; Pseudomonadati; Pseudomonadota; Alphaproteobacteria; Rhodobacterales; Paracoccaceae.
GGGGCCAUAGCUCAGUUGGUAGAGCGCAUCGUUCGCAAUGAUGAGGUCAGGGGUUCGACUCCCCUUGGCUCCA